Molecule: ribosomal RNA, 373 nt
Filed under: uncultured bacterium
Lineage: Bacteria
Description: bacterial SSU rRNA
Rfam family: Bacterial small subunit ribosomal RNA
Source: RNAcentral
ACAGAGGGUGCAAACGUUGUUCGGAAUUACUGGGCGUAAAGCGCGUGUAGGCUGCUCGGAAAGUCGGAUGUGAAAGCCCUGGGCUCAACCUAGGAAGUGCACUCGAAACUUCCGAGCUGGAGUGCUGGAGAGGAAGGCGGAAUUCUCGGUGUAGAGGUGAAAUUCGUAGAUAUCGAGAGGAACACCGGUGGCGAAGGCGGCCUUCUGGACAGUUACUGACGCUGAGACGCGAAAGCGUGGGGAGCAAACAGGAUUAGAUACCCUGGUAGUCCACGCCGUAAACGAUGGGUGCUAGGUGUCGCGGGCUUUGACCCCUGCGGUGCCGUAGCUAACGCAUUAAGCACCCCGCCUGGGGAGUACGGCCGCAAGGCUA